UCGCGACCAGCAGUCAGAGGGUCGUUAUUUUGGUGCUGAAGGUGUGAGGGGUCCGGACUGAGUUGAAAACGCCCAGCCCUAGGGUACCAUCUGGAGAUGUUCUGUCACUUCAAGGAUACUGAAAGCGGGAAGAGUCACUUGAGGGAGUAUCCGCUGUCAUUGCCUCUGGAUGGUUUUGCGACUUGGCUCACAGGUGGAAAGACUAUGUCCAAUACAUAGCAGAUGCCUGGGACUCAUUUUGCUGAUUUCAAAGUUCCUUUGGAACGGAACACGCAAACAGUAGUGAUCUAUACAAGUGAACAGAAAAGGACGAAGGCACAGGAGCCUGCCUCCCAGGUCAGCACAUGCCGAGAUCCGAGUUCAGGUGUCUGUGAUCUCUCCAAAUGCAAAUAAAACACCUGACUGUGGCUACAGCUGUCACACCCCAGACAGCAGCUUGUUCUGUGAGUUUCAGGUCUUGAAACAACAGAAACACCCAGAAGUACUCUCAGGAAGGAACGGCAUUUCCGUGAAGGUCCUCGAAGGGUGCACGUUGUGUACAAACACUUGAAGAGAUGAUGGAGGAGCUCUUGGGUGUGCACAAAGCCAAGUGCUGCCCCCUGAAGGAAAAAGUGCAAUCAUCGGAAUGAACUCUCUUGGUUUAUUUAAGUGCUUCAUGUACACAGCUUUUAGGCACAUGUCCGUACCUGUCCUAUGACAGCUAUCCUUUACCCUAACCUCAGUGGGAACAGGAAUGCUGAAGAAUUGCUUUUAAUAACAGAUGAAGAUUAAAAAUGUUUUAAAGCCCUCAA
Molecule: long non-coding RNA, 791 nt
Organism: Mesocricetus auratus (golden hamster)
Lineage: Eukaryota; Metazoa; Chordata; Mammalia; Rodentia; Cricetidae
Exons: 3
Source: RefSeq, a predicted model, not a curated record